Molecule: small nuclear RNA, 107 nt
Organism: Trichechus manatus latirostris (Florida manatee)
Lineage: Eukaryota; Metazoa; Chordata; Mammalia; Sirenia; Trichechidae
Source: RefSeq, a predicted model, not a curated record
GUGCUCCCUAUAGCAGCACAUAUACUAAAACUGGAGCAAUUCAAAGAAGAUUAGCAUGGCCCCUGCAUAAGGAUGACACACAGACUCAUCAGGCAUUCCAUAUUUUU